Non-coding RNA from Mycobacterium arosiense, 69 nucleotides. Lineage: Bacteria; Bacillati; Actinomycetota; Actinomycetes; Mycobacteriales; Mycobacteriaceae. The record is from Rfam.
CUUGAUCGACCCCAACCACAACGGCUCACCACGAUCCUGCCCAUAGGUCGCCAACAACGCCUGCGCCUC